RNAcentral lists this ribosomal RNA (253 nucleotides) under uncultured bacterium. Its description in RNAcentral is "partial 16S ribosomal RNA". It matches the Rfam family "Bacterial small subunit ribosomal RNA", at positions 524 to 776 of the family's 1533-position model. The record is from RNAcentral.
CACGUAGGGCGCAAGCGUUGUCCGGAAUUAUUGGGCGUAAAGAGCUCGUAGGCGGUCUGUUGCGUCCGCUGUAAAAACUCGGGGCUUAACCCCGAGCCUGCAGUGGAUACGGGCAGACUAGAGGUAGGUAGGGGAGAAUGGAAUUCCCGGUGUAGCGGUGAAAUGCGCAGAUAUCGGGAGGAACACCGGUGGCGAAGGCGGCGCCCUGGCUCGCAACUGACGCUCAGACACGACAGCAUGGGGAGCGAACGGG